UACGUAGGGUGCAAGCGUUGUCCGGAAUUAUUGGGCGUAAAGAGCUCGUAGGCGGUCUGUUGCGUCGGGAGUGAAAACUCAGGGCUUAACCCUGAGCCUGCUUCCGAUACGGGCAGACUAGAGGUAUGCAGGGGAGAACGGAAUUCCUGGUGUAGCGGUGAAAUGCGCAGAUAUCAGGAGGAACACCGGUGGCGAAGGCGGUUCUCUGGGCAUUACCUGACGCUGAGGAGCGAAAGUGUGGGGAGCGAGCAGG
This 253-nucleotide ribosomal RNA is filed under the name uncultured bacterium. Its description in RNAcentral is "partial 16S ribosomal RNA". It matches the Rfam family "Bacterial small subunit ribosomal RNA", at positions 524 to 776 of the family's 1533-position model. The record is from RNAcentral.